RNAcentral lists this ribosomal RNA (483 nucleotides) under uncultured bacterium. RNAcentral describes it as "partial 16S ribosomal RNA". It matches the Rfam family "Bacterial small subunit ribosomal RNA", at positions 28 to 507 of the family's 1533-position model. The record is from RNAcentral.
GACGAACGCUGGCGGCGUGCUUAACACAUGCAAGUCGAACGAUGAAGCGGGUGCUUGCACUCGUGGAUUAGUGGCGAACGGGCGAGUAACACGUGAGUAACCUGUCCUUUUCUUUGGGAUAACGGCUGGAAACGGCUGCUAAUACUGGAUAUUCAGGCUGCAUCGCAUGGUGUGGUUUGGAAAGGUUUUUUCUGGGAUUGGGUGGGCUCGCGGCCUAUCAGCUUGUUGGUGGGGUGAUGGCUUACCAAGGCUUUGACGGGUAGCCGGCCUGAGAGGGUGGUCGGUCGCACUGGGACUGAGAUACGGCCCAGACUCCUACGGGAGGCAGCAGUGGGGAAUAUUGCACAAUGGACGAAAGUUUGAUGGAGCGACGCCGCGUGGAGGGUGUAGGCCUUCGGGUUGUGAACUCCUUUUUCUCGCGAAAAAGGCACAGUUUUGGCUGUGUUGAUGGUAGUGGGGGAAGAAGCGCCGGCUAACUACGUG